Molecule: ribosomal RNA, 497 nt
Filed under: uncultured bacterium
Lineage: Bacteria
Description: partial 16S ribosomal RNA
Rfam family: Bacterial small subunit ribosomal RNA
Source: RNAcentral
GAUGAACGCUGGCGGCGUGCCUAAUACAUGCAAGUCGAGCGAACGGACGAGAAGCUUGCUUCUCUGAUGUUAGCGGCGGACGGGUGAGUAACACGUGGAUAACCUACCUAUAAGACUGGGAUAACUUCGGGAAACCGGAGCUAAUACCGGAUGAUAUUUUGAACCGCAUGGUUCAAAAGUGAAAGACGGUCUUGCUGUCACUUAUAGCUGGAUCCGCGCUGCAUUAGCUAGUUGCUAAGGUAACGGCUUACCACGGCAACGAUGCAUAGCCGACCUGAGCGGGGGGUCGGCCACAUGGGAACGGAGACGCGGUCCAGACUCCUACGGGAGGCAGCAGUAGGGAAUCGGCCGCAAUGGGGGAAAGCCUGACGGAGCGACGGGGCGUGAGUGAUGAAGGUCUUCGGAGCGGAAAGCUCGGUUAUUAGGGAAGAACAUAUGUGUAAGGAACUGUGCACAGCGUGACGGUACCUAAUCAGAAAGCCACGGCUAACUACGUG